Molecule: ribosomal RNA, 2723 nt
Filed under: Alaria esculenta (Atlantic wakame)
Lineage: Eukaryota; Phaeophyceae; Laminariales; Alariaceae
Description: large subunit ribosomal RNA
Rfam family: Bacterial large subunit ribosomal RNA
Source: RNAcentral
UAAUAUACUAUUUUAGUGUGGAGUGAAUGCCUUGGAAGAAAAAUAUAGGCGCGGACAAUCGCGAAAGUGUUGACACGAGGAAAGCCUGUGACGUCAACCAACCUAAAAUGGGAAACCGGGGCUAAAAAGCCCGCUGCUUAGGCAGUAUCAAGGGGAAGUGAAACAUCUCAGUACCCUGUAGACCAAAUCAACCGAGAUAUCGUUAGUAGUGGUGAGCGAAAGCGAUAAAAAGGCAAAACGAAAAUUUUAUUAUUAAGAAUGAAAAGAAGUUUUGUUUUUCAAUGAAAUUUCUACCUUAGAAGGUGUUAGUCCUGUAAUUCUUUUUUUUUUCGUGAAAGUAAGACGAGGCAAGUUUACCUUGUCUGAGUAUUGGGGGACCACCCUCAAAGCCUAUAGUUAUUUUUCUUACCGAUAGUGAACAAGUACCGUGAGGGAAAGGUGAAAAAGAAGUUGCGACAGUGCAAAGAUCCUGAAACUCCAUAUUUGAGUCGGAGCUAUAAAAAGCAACGGCAUACCUUUUGUAUAAUGGGCAAGUGAAUCUUAAUAAAGGGCAAGCUUAAGCUAAUAAAAGUGUAGGCGAAGAGAAAUCGAGUCCUAUGUGGCAUCCUAAAGUCCUUUGUUAAGUACCCGAAACCGGCUGAUCUAAACUUGAGCAGGCUGAUAUUGUAGUGGCAACAUUCUUUGGAGGGCCGAACCCGUGUAUGUGGCAAAAUACUGGGAUGACUUGAGUUUAGGGGUGAAAGGCCAAUCAAAGUCGGUGAUAGCUGGAUUUCUGCGAAAUCUAUUGAAGUAGAGCGUCCUAAACAGUAAAUCUGGGGUAGAGCACUGUAUAAGCAAGGGGGAGAUCUUCUCUUACUAAACUUUGGCAAACUCCGAAUACAGAUUUUUCAUUUAGGGCAGACAGAGUAUGUAUGCUAAGAUUCAUACUCAAGAGGGAAACAGCCCAGACUGUAGGCUAAGGUCCACAAAAUAGUUUCAGUGGUAAAGGUGAUAUCUGCUCUGAGACCGUCAGGAGGUAGGCUUGGAAGCAGCCAUCCUUUUAAGACAGCGUAACAGCUCACUGACCUAGAGUAGAAGUCCCGCCAAUUUUGAGGGCUUAAAACUAUUACCGAAGCCUCAGACAAAAAUGUUAAGAUAAUUAAAAACUCUUAUAUUUUGUGGUAGCAGAACAUUCCGUAGGUCGUAGAAGUUUUGACGUAAGUUAAGAUCAAGAUAUCGGAAGCGAGAAUACUUGCAUGAGUAGCAUAAAACAAUGAAAUUAAAGCAUUGUGGCCGUAAGUCCAAGGUUUACGAUCUUAAGUAAAACUGGGUCGUGAGAGGGUAACACCUCGAUUUAAAACGGUCCCUAAGCUGUUAAGCCAAAGCUUGCAGUAAUGGGUAAGAUUAAACUGUUAAAAGUUGCUGACGAAAAAUUCACCUUAUUCUUGAAUUUGUCAAGAGUGAGUUAUUUUUUCCAAGAAAAAGGCACUUUAUUUAUACCGUACCUUAAACCGCCUCAGGUGGACGGGUGGAGAACACUAAGGCCUUGAGAUAACCCUGUUGAAGGAACUCGGCAAAAUGACUCUGUAACUUCGGAAUAAGGAGUAAAGGCAUGUAGCGCAAGCUUUUGUCUUUGUCACAAAAUCGGGGGUGGCGACUGUUUAUUAAAAACACAGGUCUCUGCUAACUCGUAAGAGGAUGUAUAGGGACUGACACCUGCCCGGUGCCGGUAGGUGAAGCUUUGAUGUUUACGCAUUGAGGUCAAACCCCGGUAAACGGCGGCUGUAACUAUGACGGUCCUAAGGUAGCGAAAUUCCUUGUCGGGUAAGUUCCGACCCGCAUGAAUGGUGUAACGACUUCCCCGCUGUCUCCAACAGGGACUCAGUGAAAUUACAUAGGUCGUGAAGAUGCGACCAUCCCACAGCUGGACGGAAAGACCCCGUGCACCUUUACUAUAAGCAAAUAUUGUAGGUCAAAGACUCUAGUGUAGAAUAGGUGGGAGCUUAUGAUUCUUUCUCGUCAGAGUCUGAUGAGGCGAUAGUGAAAUACCACCCCGAGAUCUGUUGGCUUACUAACUAAGGGACAGUGUUUGCUGGGUAGUUUGACUGGGGCGGUCGCCUCCUAAAGAGUAACGGAGGCAUACAAAGGUAGGUUCAUCUCCUUCUAAGGGGAAUUGAGUAUAAUGGUAUAAACCUGCUUGACUGAAAGAAAGACAUUUCGAUCAGAGACGUAAGUCGGUCAUAGUGAUCCGGUGGUUCUUUGUGGAAAGGCCAUCGCGCAAUGGAUAAAAGGUACGCCGGGGAUAACAGGCUAAUGAUCCUCUAGAGCCCCUAUCGACGGGUUCGUUUGGCACCUCGAUGUCGACUCAUCACAUCCUGGAGCUGGAAAAGGUUCCAAGGGUUCGGCUGUUCGCCGACGAAAGUGGUACGUGAGUUGGGUUUAGAACGUCGUGAGACAGUUUGGUCCCUAUCUUCUGUGGGUGUUUGAAAAUUCCGAGGACUAGACCUUAGUACGAGAGGACCGGGAAAACUCGAUCCCUUGUGUUCCGGUUGUUCCCUAAGGGGCAUCGCCGGGUAGCUACAUCGAGAAGAGAUAAUCGACCGUUAGGCGAGAAACUCUCCUCUAGUAAAGUUUUCUAAAGGGGGUGGAAGAUUACCACUUUGAUAGGCGGGAGGUGUAAGAGCUGUAAGGUUUUCAGCUGACCCGUACUAAUCCCUAGAAAAAUAAAAUUAUAUAGUUUUUGC